Molecule: unclassified non-coding RNA, 359 nt
Filed under: Hevea brasiliensis (rubber tree)
Lineage: Eukaryota; Viridiplantae; Streptophyta; Magnoliopsida; Malpighiales; Euphorbiaceae
Source: RNAcentral
CGGAGCUUCUGCUUCAACGGAACUGAGGGUUUUAGUAGGGUUUCGGGAAUCAGGGCUUUUGCGUUUCUUGGGUGGGGAGGAUUGUGACUGUGAUUUUUUUUUGGCGGCGGCGCGCGCAUUUGACAUGAGUGUGUCGAAAGCGGAUGGGCGAGAAGACAUUGUGGACUGAGGACUCAAUUUGACAAAGAGAUGAGGAGGAUUAGGAAGAAAGGAAGAUUUAGAGAAGGGAAAGCAGAAAAGGAGAGAAGAGAAAGAAUUGGAGCGAUGAGAAAAGGAAAUGAAUAGCAGAGAAGAGCAUGAACGGGGAGCGAGCAUCAAAAGGAGGGAAGAGAUGGAAGGAAGAGAAUUAGUCGAGAAAG